GCCUCGUGGUGCAGUGGGCCAGUGCAUCUGGCUGUUAACCAGAAGGUUAGUGGCUUGAGUCCACCCUGGAAUG
This is a non-coding RNA of Podarcis lilfordi (Lilford's wall lizard), 73 nucleotides long. Lineage: Eukaryota; Metazoa; Chordata; Lepidosauria; Squamata; Lacertidae. The record is from the annotation of a GenBank genome assembly.